This 420-nucleotide long non-coding RNA is filed under the name Equus caballus (horse). Its description in RNAcentral is "lncRNA (ENSECAG00000047934.1)". Lineage: Eukaryota; Metazoa; Chordata; Mammalia; Perissodactyla; Equidae. The record is from RNAcentral.
UUUGAGUGUCCCGGAAACAAGACUCACACAGCAAAGGCCAAACCAAGGCUGUCUUUCUGGAAGUCAUGGAGGGUGUCCCCCAACUGCCAAACCAAGCCAAGAGAAUUUCUGUGAGAAAAAUAAAUAGAGGGGCUAAACAACGUACUCAGAAUCACACCACUAGUAGGCUGUACAGGUGGACGUUGAACCCAGCAGUCUGCAGAGUCUGAUUUCCUCACCACUAAGCUGCCUCGGCUUACUAUGCAUGUCAGAAAUUUCACCUGGACAAGUUCAAGCUCAAGGAACUCAUACAUUCAAAGCACCAGGGCAUAGCACCAAGAAGUGUAUGUGAGGGACCAAAUCUUCCAUCUCAGACUCUUCCCUGAGGAUAAGAGGAUGACUCUCUGAAUGUAACCUCCUUCAGACCAGCAUUGUGUGACA